Molecule: long non-coding RNA, 383 nt
Organism: Oncorhynchus tshawytscha (Chinook salmon)
Lineage: Eukaryota; Metazoa; Chordata; Actinopteri; Salmoniformes; Salmonidae
Exons: 2
Source: RefSeq, a predicted model, not a curated record
GAGACAAAGAGAGGGCAUGUACCUGGAGACUUUAAGAAAGAGGGCUUGGGGAGAGCUCUCCAGCCUGCCUCCUCUCACAGCAGCAGGAACAGGACAACACUGAGCAAAUGUUUCCCACGUGGUUGGACCCCCAACCAGGAUGGAACACACAACCAGGAUGGAACACACAACCAGGAUGGAACACGCAACCAGGAUGGAACACGCAACCAGGAUGGAACACGCAACCAGGAUGGAACACGCAACCAGGAUGGAACACGCAACCAGGAUGGAACACACAACCAGGAUGGAACACACAACCAGGAUGGAACACGCAACCAGGAUGGAACACGCAACCAGGAUAGAACACGCAACCAGGAUGGAACACGCAACCAGGAUGGAACACA